RNAcentral lists this small nuclear RNA (19 nucleotides) under Arabidopsis thaliana (thale cress). RNAcentral describes it as "snRNA_05520". The record is from RNAcentral. Lineage: Eukaryota; Viridiplantae; Streptophyta; Magnoliopsida; Brassicales; Brassicaceae.
UUCCGUCCAAGGCUAAAUA